RNAcentral lists this ribosomal RNA (428 nucleotides) under uncultured bacterium. RNAcentral describes it as "bacterial SSU rRNA". It matches the Rfam family "Bacterial small subunit ribosomal RNA", at positions 355 to 775 of the family's 1533-position model. The record is from RNAcentral.
UGGGGAAUAUUGGACAAUGGGCGCAAGCCUGAUCCAGCCAUGCCGCGUGGGUGAAGAAGGCCUUCGGGUUGUAAAGCCCUUUUGUCCGGAACGAAAAGGUGUCGGCUAAUACCCGGCACUGCUGACGGUACCGGAAGAAUAAGCACCGGCUAACUUCGUGCCAGCAGCCGCGGUAAUACGAAGGGUGCAAGCGUUACUCGGAAUCACUGGGCGUAAAGCGUGCGUAGGCGGUUUCUUAAGUCUGUCGUGAAAGCCCUGGGCUCAACCUGGGAAUGGCGAUGGAUACUGGGAAGCUAGAGUGUGAUAGAGGAUGGUGGAAUUCCCGGUGUAGCGGUGAAAUGCGUAGAGAUCGGGAGGAACACCAGUGGCGAAGGCGGCCAUCUGGAUCAACACUGACGCUGAGGCACGAAAGCGUGGGGAGCAAACAG